This is a long non-coding RNA of Dreissena polymorpha, 580 nucleotides long. RefSeq lists it as uncharacterized. Lineage: Eukaryota; Metazoa; Mollusca; Bivalvia; Myida; Dreissenidae. The transcript is spliced from 2 exons. The record is from RefSeq and is a predicted model, not a curated record.
UGCAGAUGACCUCUAUUGAUUUUGAGGUCACUAGGUCAAAGGUCAAGGUCACGGUGACCCGAAAUAGUAAAAUGGUUUCCGGAUGAUAACUCAAGAACGCAUAUGCCUAGGAUCAUGAAACUUCAUGGGUAGAUUGAUCAUGACUCGCAGAUGACCCCUAUUGAUUUUGAGGUCACUAGGUCAAAUGUCAAGGUCACGGUGACCUGAAAUAGUUAAAUGGUUUCCGGAUGAUAACUCAAGAACGCCUACGCCUAGGAUCAUGAAACUUCGUAGGUAAAUUGAUCAUGACUCGCAGAUGACCCAUAUUGAUUUUCAGGUCACUAGGUCAAAGGUCAAGGUCACGGUGACCCGAAACAGUAAAAUUGUUUCCGGAUGAUAACUCAAGAACGCUUUUGCCUAGGAUCAUGACACUUCAAGGUACAUUGAUCAUGACUGGCAGAUGACCCCUAUUGAUUUUCAGGUCACUAGGUCAAAGGUCAAGGUCACAGUGACAAAAAGCGUAUUCACACAAUGGCUGCCACUACAACGGACAGCCCGUAUGGGGGGCAUGCAUGUUUUACAAACAGCCCUUGUUGAUUUU